UGCCAUAAUAAAACUUUAAUCUGAAUGGACAAAAACGUUUCCACACGGCUAAUAUUUCUGCUUACGUUUUGUCUUUUAAAGAUUGUGACACAGGAAAAUAAAUAUUACAGGUACACAGUAAAUCUUAAAAAUAAAUUUUAUUUGACUGCACUACUAAUAUUUCAUUUAAUGAUACACACUGAACAGUCCCAACCAUCUGCAUACUUGAGUAAGUAUUACCACUUUUUCUUAAUAUAAGUAGCAGAAAUUACUUCUCGACAGAGCCUUGAACCAUCAAGGACACCAUCACUUAUCCAUCUUUGGCCUUUGUGCGUCAAGUUAUUAUCUCUCUGUCUUUUCCAUUCAAUCUGGUUUCAUCUUCAUAAUUUUUGGACCGGAUAGGCUCUUUACUCAAACUGCUCGUUUUGUAAGGAAAUGGUUCAGAAAGUCUGAGGCAAGACCUGAAUACAAAGUGGAAGUGAUUUUAUCAUGAGUAAUGGACAACGGUCUGGUUUCUGCACUUUUGGACAUUUUAAGAAGUGACACAAGUUUAGCUUUGAGCACAAGGGCCAGAAUUCAACAUUUUCUCUUUUUUUCUCUCUAACUCAACAGAAUGGGAUGAUCUAUACAGGAUAUGCUCCAGCACCAAUGGCUUUUCCUAUGACGACACCCCAAGUGCCUGUGUAUGGAAUGCUCCCUCCUCAGAUGAGUCAUCAAAUGGGGGGUGUUCCCAUGAUUCCCCCACAGCCUGUCAUGUACAACCAGCCUGUCCUGAGACCCACCAAUCCCUUUGGACCCAUCCCGGGUACACAGAUGCAUUUCAUGUAGAGAUGAUGUUGUAACCAUAGCAGCAAAGCUGAAAGAGAAGAGGCAAGAGAAAGAUGGAAAAGAAAGAGCUGAUGGCAAACACAAGUACAGAACCAAAUCCAGUGCAGGAGGAAGAAAGAACGGCGAGGGGAUUGGAGGACCGGAGCGGAGGAUUAAUAGAAGAUGAAAUGCUGAUGUCAAUUUAUUGUCACUUCACCCUCUAUUCUCCAUGUGGCUACUGAUUUGUCUGUCUUUAACCCAGUACAACCAUGGAGCAUCGGAGCCUCCUCAUCAGUUCAGCCCAGCUUAUCUUUGUUUGGCCUCUUCUAAUGGCAAUCACAGCCUAUGCUGACAUAGCAGAGACUGACAGCUAUACGGAGGUUCUUCACCUUCUCCUGAGCCGCCCCUCCUGUUAAUAACCAGUAUG
This is a long non-coding RNA of Poecilia latipinna (sailfin molly), 1213 nucleotides long. RefSeq lists it as uncharacterized. Lineage: Eukaryota; Metazoa; Chordata; Actinopteri; Cyprinodontiformes; Poeciliidae. The record is from RefSeq and is a predicted model, not a curated record. The transcript is spliced from 4 exons.